Molecule: ribosomal RNA, 770 nt
Filed under: bacterium
Lineage: Bacteria
Description: bacterial SSU rRNA
Rfam family: Bacterial small subunit ribosomal RNA
Source: RNAcentral
GAUGUCCCGCUUGCGGGACGGAUUAGUGGCGAACGGGUGAGUAAUACGUGAGUAACCUGCCCCUGACUCUGGGAUAAGCCUGGGAAACCGGGUCUAAUACUGGAUACUACCUCCCGCCGCAUGGUGGGUGGUGGAAAGGGUUCUACUGGUUUUGGAUGGGCUCACGGCCUAUCAGCUUGUUGGUGGGGUAAUGGCUCACCAAGGCGACGACGGGUAGCCGGCCUGAGAGGGUGACCGGCCACACUGGGACUGAGACACGGCCCAGACUCCUACGGGAGGCAGCAGUGGGGAAUAUUGCACAAUGGGCGCAAGCCUGAUGCAGCGACGCCGCGUGAGGGAUGACGGCCUUCGGGUUGUAAACCUCUUUCAGUAGGGAAGAAGCGAAAGUGACGGUACCUGCAGAAGAAGCGCCGGCUAACUACGUGCCAGCAGCCGCGGUAAUACGUAGGGCGCAAGCGUUGUCCGGAAUUAUUGGGCGUAAAGAGCUCGUAGGCGGUUUGUCGCGUCUGCUGUGAAAGCCCGGGGCUCAACCCCGGGUCUGCAGUGGGUACGGGCAGACUAGAGUGCAGUAGGGGAGACUGGAAUUCCUGGUGGUAGCGGUGAAAUGCGCAGAUAUCAGGAGGAACACCGAUGGCGAAGGCAGGUCUCUGGGCUGUUACUGACGCUGAGGAGCGAAAGCAUGGGGAGCGAACAGGAUUAGAUACCCUGGUAGUCCAUGCCCGUAAACGUUGGGCACUAGGUGUGGGGGACAUUCCACGUUCUCCGCGCCG